This 908-nucleotide long non-coding RNA is filed under the name Homo sapiens (human). Its description in RNAcentral is "HSALNT0139613". Lineage: Eukaryota; Metazoa; Chordata; Mammalia; Primates; Hominidae. The record is from RNAcentral.
GGCAAAGUAAUUAUAAUACUAUUCUGAAGAAAAUUUUCCAAAUAUAUAUUGCAUUGCAGUUUAUGGUUUCCUCCUGUUCUGUGGAUUUCUCGUACCAUGCCAGUCUAAAUGCUUGUUAUUGAAACCAGAACAGCCAACAUGAUAAUAUUGGUCUUCAUUCUCUUGGAAAAGAAUUGACAGAAGAUACUCAAAUAAUGUGUGAUUAGUAUUACAAAAAGUGUUACAAAAAUGUGAUAAGUGUUACGAAGGAAGUACAUCAUGCCUGAGAUUAAAGUAGGAAGUCUUUAUUGCUAUAUUAUCCUAAAAUCAAAUUUUAUCUCAUUAUUUUGAAAGUAAUAACAAUGUUAACUCAUGGAAUUCUACUUAUCUUACUAUUAAAGUUGUAAUUGCUCAUGCAUAACUAGUAUAAUCAUUAUUAGUCAGGACUUUAUAGCACCCCACAUUCAUCAUGUUUAAAAGAAUUGCCAUGUAACUAUAAAAAUGUAACAACUAGGAAAGUGUAGGAUAGUAGUAUAAGGUUAGAAAAUGAAGAUAUUUUAGGACUUUGUGACACUACCUCAAUGGAAGGUAUAUUAAAGUUCGUAACAUCUCUAUUUAAUACAAGCAAAUUAUUAUAUAUAUAUGUGUGUGUGUAUGUGUGUGUGUGUGUAUUCCUCUAUUGGUCUUAUUACCUAAUAAGAUGGGACAGAUUGAAAAUAUGAAUACAUUUUUAAGUUAAGAAAAAUGAAAAAUGCAUCAAUAAAAUUUUUUAAAGAUAUUAUAUGAUACUUCUAUCUGUGUACAACCUUAACCUACUAAGAUUUCUUGGCAACAUUUUUGGAGAUUAAAUACUGACUGGGAGGUCAAUAUCUUCAUCAUUAAAGUUUUGUCAUAUAAAGCACAAUUUAUUAACUACCCAACGGCAAUUA